Molecule: non-coding RNA, 46 nt
Filed under: Schistosoma haematobium
Lineage: Eukaryota; Metazoa; Platyhelminthes; Trematoda; Strigeidida; Schistosomatidae
Source: RNAcentral
AUCCAACUGUACGAGUCCCAAAUAGGACGAAACGUACGCCCUAGAU